RNAcentral lists this ribosomal RNA (501 nucleotides) under Candida dubliniensis. RNAcentral's name for it is "eukaryotic LSU rRNA". It matches the Rfam family "Eukaryotic large subunit ribosomal RNA", at positions 112 to 628 of the family's 3401-position model. Lineage: Eukaryota; Fungi; Ascomycota; Pichiomycetes; Serinales; Debaryomycetaceae. The record is from RNAcentral.
AAUUUGAAAUCUGGCGUCUUUGGCGUCCGAGUUGUAAUUUGAAGAAGGUAUCUUUGGGCCCGGCUCUUGUCUAUGUUCCUUGGAACAGGACGUCACAGAGGGUGAGAAUCCCGUGCGAUGAGAUGGCCCGGGUCUAUGUAAAGUUCCUUCGACGAGUCGAGUUGUUUGGGAAUGCAGCUCUAAGUGGGUGGUAAAUUCCAUCUAAAGCUAAAUAUUGGCGAGAGACCGAUAGCGAACAAGUACAGUGAUGGAAAGAUGAAAAGAACUUUGAAAAGAGAGUGAAAAAGUACGUGAAAUUGUUGAAAGGGAAGGGCUUGAGAUCAGACUUGGUAUUUUGCAAGUUACUCUUUCGGGGGUGGCCUCUGCGGUUUACCGGGCCAGCAUCGGUUUGGAGCGGUAGGAUAAUGGCGGGGGAAUGUGGCACGACUUUGGUUGUGUGUUAUAGCCUCUGACGAUACUGCCAGCCUAGACCGAGGACUGCGGUUUUUACCUAGGAUGUUG